AGGGACGGCCCCGAGCCCGUGACAGCGGGGAGGCCCGGGGCACCCUCCCGGUCCCUCCGCACGGCUGUGGGAACCGGCCGAGGAAACACCUGGAGGCGCGGCGAGGCCCCGCUCCGGAGAACGAUGCCAGGAGUGAGUUGACAAAGCAGACUUUCUGCAUUCCCUAGUGCUCUGCCUGGAAGCUAAAGAAAAAGUAAUCCUUUUGUACGCCACAUGAAGCAGUAAUUUCUUGUGGAUGGAAGCUAGGAUACCAGGGUGCUGGGCAUGGUUGUGCAAGUCCAUUCUUCCCUUGUGUGAACUGCAUGCAGAAAAUAGCUGUUAAGGUCCCAGCCACCUGGACUCACCAGUUUCCACACUUUUGGCUAGAUGUCAACCACUUCUGAUCCUUCACUUCUGAAAAAAUUAUCUCAGAUGUGUGCCACGGUUCUCCCUGGACUGCAAGAAUAGCUAUCAACUUGGAUCAGGCAUAAUUGCUUUAAGUUGAUGUCACUUUGUCACCCUGCCUUUGCUACAGGUCACGGAAGAUAAGGACUCACAACUGGACACAGUCUCUCCACUUGCCCUAAGCCACUGCAAUCUCCCAGGCAUUAUAUUUCUUGAACUUGAUGUAAGACUCUAUUAAGUAUCCAUUGAUGUUUGCAUAAUUCUGCAGUUCAAGAGUCUUACUAUCUACAGCAUUUAUUAAUUAGCAUGAGCUAAAUUUUCAGUAGGAAGACAUCAUAUAAAUUCCAGAGAAUGAACACACUAUUCAUGGAAUUAACUGGGCAAGGUUUAUGGGGAAAAGUAGCAUAUUUUAAUUCUUUUUAUUAAAGGCUUACAUAUUUUGCCCUGUUUUUACCACCAGAACAAGUAGAAUUCAGGGUCUAUUUUUCAAGUCAGACACAAAUCUUGAGGUCCUUGACCUCCAUUUAGGAAAUUAGUGUUUUUAUAACAGAGAAUAAAUUCUUUUCCUUUCUUGGUGGCACGUGAAUGUUUCUGGAGUGGGGAAGAGUGUUAUUGGACUUUAUCCUGUCUUUGUUCAGCCUGCAGCCCAUUCUUCAUGACUUUGUCAUUUGAUUAUCUUGAUCAAGCUGAUUAAGGGCUUUAUAUAUUGCCUCUUCAAUUUUCUGUCCUUGUGAAUGUUGUCAUGGAGGAAUAAAGAACAGAGAACUUCAAAGCAAUUCCCACAACUCAAAUCCAAACUCCUACCUACACCAGAGACAGAAAAAGAGUGGCAGUGAGACUGAGCAUUUCUGAAUCUUUUUAGGCUUUCUUUCAAUGCUUCUCAGAAAUGUGGAUAUUUUCAGUGGAGGAAGUGAGAUUGCUCUGGCUUUGCUUUUUCAAUAUCCACUACUUUAUGAUAAAAGAGAUUAUUAAAGAAAGCUGUGAUGUGUCAAUGCACAGCAAAAUUGCACUGAACCCAAGGAUAAAUGUGCACAAACCAUGCAUCCCCUUUUUCCAUUCUAGCAUUUAUAUAUUAUUUAUGUCUGCACUGAGAAAAUGAGAAAGAUAUUAAUAAAGUCUUUUUUAAUGUCACUUAGCAGUAUUUCAGCAUCUACUUUCCUUUCUACUUUGCUACAGGCCACUAACAGCAAGUUCUUUCUAUAUUCUCAUUCAGAAGAGAACAAUAACUAGAUGACCUUCUGAUCGUAUCAUAUUAUUAUUAUGCUGUGUUGUGAUCAAAUAUAAAGAUAAAAUAUUAAAUGUAAAGUAGCCUUGAGCUUUUCUAGGGAAACGUAGCCACAGAAGCCAUACUUAUGUGUCUAUCCUCAUAUUUUUGUCUUUUGGGCAGAGUGAGAAUCUGAGAAAGAAAAAGUGUCUCCUUUUUAAUUUAUUUCAGUACAAAAAUCACUCUCCAUUUUGUUGAAUGCUGACUAUGUAGUUUUCUAUAAGCAAAUUCUAACUAUUUUGCUUAGGAGACAAUAGUGUACCAGGCUAAAUACGAUGCUGUGCUAAAGUAUUUCCCUCUUUUUCAAGAUAGGAUUUUGAUCAGGCCACCAGGUUGUCUAAGCCUGCUAUACUACAAUGCUCAACAACGUGAAUGAUUAUAAAUUUAAGCUCUGAGCAAAGUGUGAAGUUGGAAAACAUAAAUGUUUUCCAAAUAUUACAGUUAGGAAAUGGCACCUAAGGAAUUUCUAGCCCCUUCAACAGCACCUGUUACCUCUUUUAGGACAGUGGCAGUAAUUUUACAAUGCCUUGUAGAAACAAAAUCCUACAUCAAUUAGUGGACAUAAAAGAGUUAAAGGUUCAUUACUUGUAUGUGUUCUUAUUAGAGUUAAGAAGACCUAUAUCUCUGUUUGCUUCUUCCAGACCAAAUGAAGUAGCUAGGUAACUUGAAUUUCUUAUACAGCAGAAUAAAUAAUUUAUUAUUCGAUUACUUACUAAACCAGAAAAAAAAUAUUAAAAAACCCCAACAAAACCAAACCAAACAAAAAACAAAACAAAACAAACAAACAAACAAAACCCCAAACAAAAACCCCCAAAAAACAAACAAACAAAAAAGACAAAACAAAACCAAAAAAACCCCACACCAAAAAACCCCCAAACAAACAAACAAACCCCCAGAACAAAACAAGAAACACCCCAAACCCCCUCCCCCACCCAAAAACCACCAAGAAAACAAGCACUGUUGAAGUAUUAUUCCAAACAAUUUUUCUCUGCUUGGUGAAACAAUAAAACACCUGGGGGCAUGAUCUAGACAGUUCAUUCCACUGAAACCAACUUUUUGGUUUUUACCCCAGCCUAAGUACCACACAGCUACUCACUAACUACUGCCAUUCUUCCCUGGUGGCAAGGGGAGUAGGAUUGACACUGACUAGUUUGGAUCAGCUGUGCUGGCAGUGCUCCCUUUCAGCUUUUUGUGCAGCUCCUCACUGGCAGAUCAUGAGACACUGAAAAGUCCUUGACUUAAAGGAAGCACUAUUUGGCAACACUUAGAGCAUCAGGGUGUCAUCAACAUUAUUCUCAUACUAAAUCCAAAACACAGCACUGUACCAGCAACUAAGAAGAAAAUAAACUCUAUCCCAUCUGACAAUCAGUUGUUUUAGAGUAAAAAAAAAUUAAAUAUCUGCACUUUCAAGGCCACUUCCUUAAACUGUUUAAAUUGUCACUAGUUUCAGUAUGUUUCUGGACAUGCAUUUAAAUCAGCUUUAAAGGAAAGUUUUGAAAUUCUCAGUUUAAUUUCUUACUAACCAUUGCUCAUAAUCCUUUAUGCAACACCCUGAGGUCUGUAAAGCUUUCAAUAAAUAAGUUUAGAUGUGACUGACCUAAUUACAGGGUGGAGUAUUAGCUGUCCAGAACAGAUGAGAGUGCAUGAGAAUCUGAAGUGAGCAUCUUACACUGAGAAAAACACAGCAUUGAAAGGUUCCUCAUUAAGCAACACUUUCUUCAGCUGAAGAGAGCAAGAUGAAAUCUACUAAGGCAUUUUAGCACAUAAUUAGAGUUAAAAAUUAAAUUCCCUAGAAAUACGGUUUGAUUUUAAUUUUGGUUCCUUCUGUGAAGGUCUUCCAUACAAAUGUCUGGUGAUCACACCAGUAUCUCUCAUGGAAACCUUUCAGUAGCCCUUCCACCUUGCCCUUGGCCAAUCAUUUCUCUACCAUCCUCUCUAGAUGUGUUUUUCAGCAGAACAGCUAACAGGUAAAUUUCACCAGGAACUUCUUUGUCUCUCUUAGUACUUUAUUAGGCAAAUCUCUUACAGCCCCAGUUUAUUCUAGCCUUCUAACUUUGCUGUCCUGGAAUUCAGCCAACUCCUUAAUGCAUUUCUCAACUGAUGUACUGCCCUUAGAGAGCCCCUGCAGACCUUGAAAUUUUAGAUCUGAUGCCACUGUCUAUUUUUCAGACUAAAAUACGUAGACAAUUUGGACUUGUCUUUUCAAAGAUUAGCCAUUUUAUUUUGAAUACAACAGCCAGAUACAGGAAAGUGUAUAAUAUCACAGAAAUGCUUUAAAGAGUAGGAAAAAAUGAAUUUAAGCGUAAAGAAGCCUGGAUUAAAAAAAAAAAAAAAAAGUUGAAAGUGUCAAAGAUAAUGAUAUGGUAAGUACAGAAUCCUUGGGUUUUAUUAAGUAGGACUGCAUUUAGCAGUCUAAAAGAAGCAUAUAGAAUCACAGAAUGAUUUGGUUUGGAAGGGACCUUCAAGAUCAUCUAGUUCUUACCCCAUACAGCAAUUACAUUUAUUUUGGAUAUUUCAACUAUAAAGUUUUCUGAAUAUAUCAGGAAACAUAACAGUGCAGGUCAGCUGUCUUUGUCCAGAUCUCUUUCUUUUCUCUUUCCAUUUGAAUAGUCAGAUAAUUUCUUUAAUGCUAUAUUAACUUUAUAUUUUUUUUCUUUUUAUUGAAAAUGGGAAUGAGGUGCAUUCACCACGGCUGAAAAUCUCCUCCUGGUAGGCAUGGUCACACAUGACAUAGUCCUUUAUCCUUCAUAAAGCUGACACAAAACUCCCCAGUGUCUGUUUAGAUAAUGUAAUUGAAUUAAUCACUUAUAGCAAGCUGCUCAUGAGAGGGAUAUAAAGUAACAAAUGUCAGACCUUUGCCAGAACAGAAUAAGACAUUAUUGGUAAAGAGAGUUUGCAUUAUACCCAGCAGCAAAUUUUUGAGUACUCUUCAUGUUUGUAUGAAGAUAUAUUGCGGUGGCUGAACUGAGAAAAAAAAUUAAAGUUUAAUAAUGAUAAGAUCAACUGUAAAGACAUAUGAGUGACUAGGUGAUUUCCAAAGAUUCAUAUGUGCUUCUCAUUUUCUUUAUUAUUCUUUUUUCCCCCUUGGUAGUUGUUAUCCACAGGUUGGACAGCAAUUGAAAGUUCACCAGGAUAAUUCCAUCAAAUGUCUUAAAUGACAUUGCAUAUUGUGCUGGUUUUGCAUUAGUUGACAUUUGGUAAGGAGAGAAGAGACCCACAAAAGUAAUUUUUCUAAGAAAAGCUGUGACAAAAACCAAUCAGUAAUUAGUUUUGAAUACUGACAUCUAGUUAGACCACUAGAAAGUUGAACACACCUCUGUGAACACACAUGUUAAAAAUCAAAGGGUAAUAUAUGUCGCAAUGUAAUUCGUGCUAGACAUUUAAACUGCAGCACUUUCUACCAAAGCCGGGUGAUGGGAAAAGCAAUGUGCACCAAGUGAUUCAGAUACCAGAGGCGAUGGCUGUCUUCAGAGAUGUGUAUCUCAGAGGAUUACUCGUCUAACGAAACCCCUGCGAUAUGCAUUUGAUAUCUAUCCAAGAUAAGAUAAUAUUCAUCGCCAGAAGUGUAUUCCUAGAGAUUUUUGUAUGAAUUAUUCACCCAAUUCCAGGAAAACUUUCAUCAUAUGCGGCAGAAAGAAAUAAAACUAUAUUAAUAUGCUAAAAGGGAUAAGACCAACGAAAGGAAGCAGAUAAAGCUCCUCCAGUAUCCCGCAGAGACUGGAAGAUGUAUAAGAGGUGAACCUGCAAAAGCAGCAUUGGAGAACCAUGGGGAAUUCGGUGUGAUAGAGGCCAAAUUCAGGUUCCCCCUGGUUCUGAUCACCAGGCUCUGUGCCGAUUUGCUUGUGGCUUUUUCCAAAAUUUAUACUUUGAUUACUUAAUAAAUUCCUUUAAUUAUUAAAUCGGCCGAUUCAUUUAUAACAGAAGGGAGCCCGGGAAAAGCUCUCUUUCCUUCCAGCCUGGGAAGAGGUGAUGAGGCACUGGUGGGGUUGGCUUAGCUCAGCCUGGCGGGGCUGGGCCAGGCUCUGCUGCUGCUGUGGCACUGGCUGGGCUGGGCCCAGCGGCUGCCAGGCAUGGGGAGGGCAGGAGAGAAGGAUCAGGAUCAGGCCCCAGCGGCUGUUAACUUCCUGCUGCUGAGCCGCUUUCCCCACCCAGCAAAGCGGGGCCCCAGCAGCUUCUGGGCAGAGAAUGGGGCUGGGCGCAUCCCCGUGCUGCUGCUGAGAUAGAUCCCACCCCGCAGGGCGGCCUCUGGUGAUUUCUCCACCGUAACCCACUCUGGCUGCCACUGCCAGGCGCUCUUGCCGUGGGGCUGUCCCAGCACUGCGAGACACCAUGCGGCUGAGACCAGGGGCAGCUCUGCAGCCCUGCAGUGGCCCCGCAGCUGAAACUGAAUGCAGCCGGAGCGCCCAGAUCCCUGGCACAGCCCCAGCAUGGCCUGGAUCUACCACCAACCAUCAUGACCUCCGCAGGCCCCGGGCGAGCUAUUAACCCUUUCCUUCCACAGAUGAAACCUGCAAAGCACUAAUCCUCUCUUAAGUGAUAGAAAAGGACAGAGUGAAGACAUGUAGAGAGACAAUAUGAAGGCAUCAAGGUCAUUGAAGGAGGAGUCAAGUCCUAGAUGAGAGGAGAAUUAAAAGAUCCCUAUUCUCAGGCUGAAGAUCUUUUGUAAGGCCAUUUUGAUGGACUGUAAUGUACUAGACUAUCCAUUUAAUUUAUAGAAACAGGAUGGGGGAAAUGAAGAGU
Long non-coding RNA from Prinia subflava (tawny-flanked prinia), 6388 nucleotides. RefSeq lists it as uncharacterized. The record is from RefSeq and is a predicted model, not a curated record. The transcript has 5 exons. Lineage: Eukaryota; Metazoa; Chordata; Aves; Passeriformes; Cisticolidae.